GACGUAGGUGGCGAACGUUAUCCGGAAUUAUUGGGCGUAAAGGGUGCGUAGGUGGCCUGACAAGUUAUCAGUGGCAAAUCGAGGCCCAACCUCGUGGAAACUGGUAAUACUGUCCGGCUUGAGUGCAGGAGAGGUUAACGGAACUCUAUGUGGAGGGGUAAAAUCCAUAGAUAUAUAGAUGAACAUCAAUAAAGGCGAAGGCAGUUAACUAUUCUGUUACUGACACUGAGGCACGAAAGCGUGGGGAGCAAAACGG
This 256-nucleotide ribosomal RNA is filed under the name uncultured bacterium. RNAcentral's name for it is "partial 16S ribosomal RNA". It matches the Rfam family "Bacterial small subunit ribosomal RNA", at positions 524 to 776 of the family's 1533-position model. The record is from RNAcentral.